CACUCCUACGGGAGGCAGCAGUGGGGAAUAUUGGACAAUGGGCGCAAGCCUGAUCCAGCCAUGCCGCGUGAGUGAUGAAGGCCCUAGGGUUGUAAAGCUCUUUCACCGGUGAAGAUAAUGACGGUAACCGGAGAAGAAGCCCCGGCUAACUUCGUGCCAGCAGCCGCGGUAAUACGAAGGGGGCUAGCGUUGUUCGGAUUUACUGGGCGUAAAGCGCACGUAGGCGGACUAUUAAGUCAGGGGUGAAAUCCCGGGGCUCAACCCCGGAACUGCCUUUGAUACUGGUAGUCUUGAGUUCGAGAGAGGUGAGUGGAAUUCCGAGUGUAGAGGUGAAAUUCGUAGAUAUUCGGAGGAACACCAGUGGCGAAGGCGGCUCACUGGCUCGAUACUGACGCUGAGGUGCGAAAGCGUGGGGAGCAAACAGGAUUAGAAACCCGAGUAGUCCC
Molecule: ribosomal RNA, 446 nt
Filed under: uncultured organism
Description: partial 16S ribosomal RNA
Rfam family: Bacterial small subunit ribosomal RNA
Source: RNAcentral